RNAcentral lists this ribosomal RNA (497 nucleotides) under uncultured bacterium. Its description in RNAcentral is "partial 16S ribosomal RNA". It matches the Rfam family "Bacterial small subunit ribosomal RNA", at positions 28 to 507 of the family's 1533-position model. The record is from RNAcentral.
GAUGAACGCUGGCGGCGUGCCUAAUACAUGCAAGUCGAGCGAACGGACGAGAAGCUUGCUUCUCUGAUGUUAGCGGCGGACGGGUGAGUAACACGUGGAUAACCUACCUAUAAGACUGGGAUAACUUCGGGAAACCGUAGCUAAUACCGGAUAAUAUUUUGAACCGCAUGGUUCAAAAGUGAAAGACGGUCUUGCUGUCACUUAUAGACGGAUCCGCGCUGCAUUAGCUAGUUGGUAAGGUAACGGCUUACCAAGGCAACGAUGCAUAGCCGACCUGAGAGGUUGAUCGGCCACACUGGAACUGAGACACGGUCCAGACUCCUACGGGAGGCAGCAGUAGGGAAUCUUCCGCAAUGGGCGAAAGCCUGACGGAGCAACGCCGCGUGAGUGAUGAAGGUCUUCGGAUCGUAAAACUCUGUUAUUAGGGAAGAACAUAUGUGUAAGUAACUGUGCACAUCUUGACGGUACCUAAUCAGAAAGCCACGGCUAACUACGUG